This 593-nucleotide ribosomal RNA is filed under the name uncultured bacterium. Its description in RNAcentral is "bacterial SSU rRNA". It matches the Rfam family "Bacterial small subunit ribosomal RNA", at positions 338 to 944 of the family's 1533-position model. The record is from RNAcentral.
CCUACGGGAGGCAGCAGUGGGGAAUAUUGGACAAUGGGCGCAAGCCUGAUCCAGCCAUGCCGCGUGAGUGAUGAAGGCCUUAGGGUUGUAAAGCUCUUUUGCCAGGGAAGAUAAUGACUGUACCUGGAGAAUAAGCCCCGGCUAACUUCGUGCCAGCAGCCGCGGUAAUACGAAGGGGGCUAGCGUUGUUCGGAAUCACUGGGCGUAAAGCGCACGUAGGCGGACUUUUAAGUCAGGGGUGAAAGCCUGAGGCUCAACCUCAGAACUGCCCUUGAUACUGGGAGUCUUGAGUAUGGUAGAGGUUGGUGGAACAGCAAGUGUAGAGGUGAAAUUCGUAGAUAUUUGCUAGAACACCAGUGGCGAAGGCGGCCAACUGGACCAUAACUGACGCUGAGGUGCGAAAGCGUGGGGAGCAAACAGGAUUAGAUACCCUGGUAGUCCACGCCGUAAACGAUGGAUGCUAGCCGUUAGCCAGCUUGCUGGGUAGUGGCGCAGGUAACCCUUUAAGCAUCCCGCCUGGGGAGUACGGUCGCAAGAUUAAAACUUAAAGGAAAUUGACGGCUUGAGACGUUGCGAGCGACACGAGGGAGAGG